Non-coding RNA from Oryza barthii, 194 nucleotides. Lineage: Eukaryota; Viridiplantae; Streptophyta; Magnoliopsida; Poales; Poaceae. The record is from Rfam.
AAAAAGACAAACCGUAGAUUCCCGUGCCAACGUUUGACUGUUCGUCUUAUAUGAAAUUUUUUUAUAAUUAGUAUUUUCAUUGUUGUUAGACGAUAAAACAUGAUUAAUACUUUAUGCGUGACUUAUCUUUUUAAUUUUUUUUCAAAUAAGACGAACGGUCAAACGUUGAACACGAAAAUAUGGUUUGUCUUUUU